AGAAGCUUAGGAUAACCAAACCAAGAGCCUUCAAAGCCCUUAAUAGAAGUGAAACCCUUCUAGCUUCUG
RNAcentral lists this transfer RNA (69 nucleotides) under Phyllobates terribilis. RNAcentral's name for it is "tRNA-Trp". It matches the Rfam family "tRNA". Rfam says of the family: Transfer RNA (tRNA) molecules are approximately 80 nucleotides in length. Their secondary structure includes four short double-helical elements and three loops (D, anti-codon, and T loops). The record is from RNAcentral. Lineage: Eukaryota; Metazoa; Chordata; Amphibia; Anura; Dendrobatidae.